Molecule: unclassified non-coding RNA, 20 nt
Filed under: Mus musculus (house mouse)
Lineage: Eukaryota; Metazoa; Chordata; Mammalia; Rodentia; Muridae
Description: oocyte_clustered_small_RNA9875
Source: RNAcentral
UGGCGAGUUACGUAGAGAUC